This 12302-nucleotide long non-coding RNA is filed under the name Triticum aestivum (bread wheat). RNAcentral's name for it is "long non-coding RNA (TAES_LNC002288)". The record is from RNAcentral. Lineage: Eukaryota; Viridiplantae; Streptophyta; Magnoliopsida; Poales; Poaceae.
CUGAAGUCCUUGAAACUGUUGAACUAGAUCAAAUAAAAGAUGUCUUAGUGGGGUCACCACAGAAAAAUGGAUUGUCCAUGGAGCAGAGAAAGAGGCUAACGAUUGCAGUCGAGCUUGUUUCAAACCCAUCAAUCAUACUAAUGGAUGAACCAACAACAGGUUUAGAUACAAGGUCAGCAGCCAUUGUUAUUCGUGCAGUCAAAAAUAUUUGUGAAACAGGAAGGACGGUAGUCUGUACAAUCCAUCAGCCGAGCACUGAAAUUUUUGAGGCAUUUGAUGAGGUAAUUUAACUUUCCAAAUAUAUUAGUAUAUUAAACACAAUCAACACAAAUAAAUUUUUAUUAUAUAUAUCAAGCACGAUCAACACAAUUUAUUUUUUCUGGAAACAUCAAAUAUGUCUAGUUUCAAAACUAUUGGGAUUAAAUAAAGCUCUUGCCUUCAGCAGAGCUGGGCUAAGCUUAAGAUGCACUACCUCUGUAACCAAAUAUAAGACGUUUUUGCAGUUCAAAUUGAACUGCAAAAACGUCUUAUAUUUAGUUACAGAUGUAGUACAUUAUUAGUUACCCAAAAUUUAAAACACAUGUCUUUUGUUCAUGCCUUUCUAGUAAAUAAUAAUGAUAGGAAAUAAUAGGAUCAAAAUUUGCAAUAUAAGCCUGUCAAGAUUUCACUUUGCACAACCUAGACUUCAAAUUGCACUUUUGUCCCCUCAAAUGAUCAAUUAUGUGCAACAAAACCCUUCAACUUAAACUUUGCUUAUAUGAAACCUUCUCUUAUUUGGUUUUGUUAGAUCCAGCAUUUUAUACUGAAAAUACCUAAUCAGACCCCUUUGAAUAAUAUAUCUAUGAAUAAACAUUGAUUUGAGCUAAGUAGGAUUGGUAUCUAAAUUAUAGUAAGACGCUUAACAACUACUCCCUAAAAAGGGCAGCCCGGUGCAUGUAGCUCCCGCUUGCGCAGGGUCCGGGGAAGGGUCCGACCACUUUGGGUCUAUAGUACGCAGCCUUUCCCUACAUUUCUGUAAGAGGCUGUUUCCAGGACUUGAACCCGUGACCUCUUGGUCACAAGGCAGCAGCUUUACCACUGCGCCAAGGCUCCCCUUCGCUUAACAACUACUCCCUCCGUUCCUAAAUGUAAGUCUUUGUAGAGAUUCCACUAUGAACCACAUACGGAUGUAUAUAGAUGCAUUUUAAGUUUAGAUUCAUUCAUUUUGCUCCGUAUGUAGUCCACCUGAUGAAAUCCCUACAAAGACUUGUAUUUAAGAACGGAGGGAGUAUUUGCUACUCCCUCUGUCUCAAAAUGUAAGACAUUUUUUGACCCUUUGAAUAAUAGAGAUAUAAACAUUGAUUUGAGCUAAGUAGGAUUGGAUCUAAAUUAUAGUAAGAUGCUUAACAACUACUCCCUCCGUCCCAAAAUAAGUGUCUCAACUUUGUACUGACACUUAUUUUGAGACGGAGGGAGUAUUUACUACUCCCUAAGGCAGCCCUGCGCAGGUUCCGUGAAAGGGUCCGACCACUUUGGAUCUAUAGUACGCAGCCUUUCCCUACAUUUCUGUAAGAGGCUGUUUCCAGGACUUGAACCAAGGCAGCAGCUUUACCACUGCGCCAAGGCUCCCCUUCGGAGUAUUUACUACUCCCUCUGUGUAAAAAUAUAAGACGCUUUUUGACAUNNNNNNNNNNCUCCGUAUGUAGUCCACCUGAUGAAAUCCCUACAAAGACUUGUAUUUAAGAACGGAGGGAGUAUUUGCUACUCCCUCUGUCUCAAAAUGUAAGACAUUUUUUGACCCUUUGAAUAAUAGAGAUAUAAACAUUGAUUUGAGCUAAGUAGGAUUGGAUCUAAAUUAUAGUAAGAUGCUUAACAACUACUCCCUAAGGCAGCCCUGCGCAGGUUCCGUGAAAGGGUCCGACCACUUUGGAUCUAUAGUACGCAGCCUUUCCCUACAUUUCUGUAAGAGGCUGUUUCCAGGACUUGAACCAAGGCAGCAGCUUUACCACUGCGCCAAGGCUCCCCUUCGGAGUAUUUACUACUCCCUCUGUGUAAAAAUAUAAGACGCUUUUUGACAUUAUCAUAGUGUCAAAAAACGCCUUACAUUUUGUGACAGAGGGAGCAUCUACCAUCAAUUUUCUGUUUCGGGAGAACUUUUCUUACCUUAAACAUUUGGACUUUGGGUAUAAAAACAACCCCACUAUAUCAGUCCGCAUGAAGAAUAAAGUAUAAACAUACAAUGACAUGUUUUGAUCUCUUAAUUAUUUGAACGUCUAUGUGUUCAAUGUCAGUUAAUUUUUAUCUCUUAUUUGAACUAAGUGUCCACACUGACACAAAUUUGUCAUCGCAUCGCCAAAAUUUGGACUUACUGGGCUUGAAUACAGAACUAAAACAAUUUUGAGGGCUUAUACUGCAAAGUCACCGAAUAGAAUAUUUUUUGGUUUCCUGAAUGUGCAAAAGCAAACCAUUUCUAUCAGAAACAUUCCUAUAAUGAAUUCCUUAGCCCAAAGUCGUAUCUCUUUGAUUAAUAAAAUGAGUAGGCCCAAAUAAUUCGACUGGGGUCGUUGCUGACCCAUACCACAUAGCUGUAGGUGGUUCCAAGGGUUGGGUUGUUCGCCCAUUAAUACGGUACGUGAGCGGAAAUAGUGUAACAAAUAGAAAUUGGUAUAGUAUAGGAAAUCCGUAAAAUCUCAGAUCUAUAUGUUUAUCACAAAUCGACGUGACUACGGACAGUUUAUAUUUGCUACUUCUCUGUUUAUACAAUAACAAAAGGGUAUAUAUUUUCUUUAUUACAGGGCUAGUUGUAGUCAAAAGUUGCCUAUAAUGCAUGUGGUAAAUUUUCUUGCAGCUCAUAUUAAUGAAAACCGGUGGGAAAACAAUCUACAAUGGACCAAUAGGAGAGCGCUCCUGCAAAGUGAUUGAGUACUUUGAGGCAAGUUUCUUGAACAUAUUUCCACAAAUGUAUCUGCCUUUUCUUGAUUAUUCAUUUUCCCUGUUUUUUCUGGAAUUGGGACAUUAAACGUGAGAGUUCCAAAGUUACAAACCCCAAAACCAGUGCUCAAAUGUUCAACAUGCCAUGGCCAAAACACUUAAGUCAACUAUAGCAGUCAUUUGUGUUCAAUAUGUAACUUGGCUAACAAUUCACAUGAAAUAUAUAGGUUAAUCAAAAUUUUGAUGUGAUCAUAUGCAUUUCACAUGUUGAACUUAAAAGCAAAUGUGAUAAUAAACGUGCAGAUUGGCAAGGGAAACUAAAAACAUACUGAAGAACUUUGUUUGCAUAUCUAUGUAUGUGUUUCGGUGUUUUCAGAGAGGAAGCACGGUUGUGGCAUGGCUCUGCCAUAUUUGUGACAUGUGUCCUUUGAUUCUAAUAGAUUGAUUUUUGCUUGUCCACUUGAUAGAAAAUUUCUGGAGUCCCAAAAAUAAAGAGUAACUGCAAUCCAGCUACCUGGAUGAUGGAUGUAACAUCGACAUCAAUGGAGGUUCAACACAACAUGGACUUUGCAAUUUUGUAUGAAGAGUCGUCACUGCAUAGGUACAUAUCUUGUGGAUUUAGUUAGAAUAUCGAGCAAAAGACAACAUAUAUGAAUAGCUUAAGCAAAAUAAAAUUCAUCUACUCCCUCUGCUCACUUUUAUAAGGCUUUGUAGAUAUUUCAGACAUUGUGCAAAACAGCUUAAUUUUACUUGUCUGAAACGACUUAUAAAAGUGAACGGAGGGAGUAGCAAAAAUUUUAGCCAAACAAAAUACCUCCAUUUGAAGUUUCGAAGAAUUAAAGUUACUUUUCUGCAGAGAAGCUGAAGAUCUAGUGGAGCAGCUAAGUAUCCCAUUACCAAAUUCAGAAAAUCUACGCUUCUCCCAUAGUUUUGCACAGAAUGGCUGGAUUCAACUUAAAGCUUGCUUGUGGAAACAAAACAUAACUUACUGGAGAAGUCCUCAGUAUAACUUGAGGCGCAUUAUGAUGACUGUCAUAUCUGCCCUGAUCUACGGAGUAUUGUUCUGGAAGCAUGCAAAAGUAUUGUAAGUCCACUACUUUGUUAUCCACAACAUUGCACAUCAGUUGACUUCACAGACUCAUUGCAAAAUUAUUCUAACUUUCUCUUAUCUCUUCUAAGAAACAACGAGCAGGACAUGCUCAGUGUUUUUGGUGCAAUGUAUUUGGGUUUCACAACCAUAGGCGCUUAUAAUGAUCAGACAAUCAUACCAUUCAGUACGACUGAGCGUAUUGUAAUGUAUCGUGAGAAAUUUGCAGGAAUGUAUUCAUCUUGGUCAUAUUCAUUCGCACAGGUCAGAAAAUGAUCACAAGCUUGUAAGAGAAGUAAAAUAUACAUUGACGCUGAUGCUCAUAUUUAUUCACCUUUUACAGGCUUUCAUUGAGAUACCCUAUGUAUUUAUCCAAGUGGUACUGUAUACGUUAAUUGUCUAUCCGUCAACUGGUUAUUAUUGGACAGCACACAAAUUCCUAUGGUUCUUCUACACUACAUUUUGUUCAAUUCUCUCCUAUGUUUAUGUUGGGUUGCUUCUUGUUUCAAUAACCCCCAAUGUUCAAGUAGCUACCAUACUGGCUUCAUUUUUCAACACCAUGCAAACACUAUUCUCAGGAUUUAUUUUACCUGCACCUGUAAGUCUUUAUCUCCUCCCAAUAUCGUAAACUUUUAGACUCUCCAAGAUGUAACUGGCACUUCUUUUUGUUAGCAAAAAUAUGGCUGCCCACCUUGAAUAUAUACCAACUAAUAAAAUAACAACCUAAAUGAGAAAUUGUAAUUGACGAGAUUUUGUAGUGUAAUUAAGUAAUAAUAUUAUGGAACUAAUAAAGGUCUAAUAGGGCAUUAUGGGCUUUUGGGCUUUACUUUAUUCCAGAGUUCAUGUUCGUGUAGAAGUCUCCUAUUCCCCCGCAAAAAAAAAGAAGUCUCCUAUUGUACUAGAUCUAGGUUACCCUUAUAGGCAUCCUAUUAAUGCAUUCUGCCUUACAAAGGUAUCAAAUUAGGUUUUAGGGUUUUUAUCCUGGUAAACAUUUCUUUAUCUUUUUUUUGUCAAUAUUCACCUUUGCAACUUCCCCACCAUGACACCUUUUUUUCCUUCUGCCCCAGAUCCUCAAUUUUACUGAUUGCUUAAUUUUUGUGGUCGAUCAACCGAUCUAUCCUCCUGAUAGAUCUUAGUUUUGGGAAUAUUUAAGUAGUAAUAUGUCAAAACAAUACAAGGACCAACCGCAACUAUAAGGCAUCACUGGAUGACGAUACACAGAACCACUCCAAUGUUAGUUUAACAUCAUAAUAGUUACAGACAUACCAUCUUCAGUUUCAUCAUUAAUACUUUCAUUUCUAUUUUCUAUGUUGGAAAUUGAUAAUUAUUCCAGCAUUGUUCAAUAGAAUAAUCAUGUUCUGUUCAAUUGUUAGGGAAGAAUCCUGAAUAGAGGAAAGCACUAAUAUGCAUUUUCAAUUCACGUUGCAGCAAAUCCCAAAGUGGUGGACUUGGCUCUACUAUCUCACUCCUACAUCUUGGGCACUCAAUGCCCUCUUGACAUCACAAUACGGAAACAUAGAAAAAGAGGUGAAAGCAUUUGGAGAAACUAAAUCAGUUUCAAUCUUCUUGAAUGACUAUUUUGGGUUUCAUCAAGACAAGUUGAGCAUAGUAGCAACUGUCCUCGUUGCCUUUCCUUUUGUGUUGAUAAUCUUGUUUUCGUUGUCCAUUGAGAAACUUAAUUUCCAGAAGAGGUAAGCAAGUUCUGACAUUCCAACAGACAUGAAUCUGUACAUGUUAAGAGAUAUAGCUACUUGCCUUUUUUCCAACUGCGAAAUGCAGAAUCAGAGCUGAUUGGGUGGCUAUUUUUCUCAAAUCUGAUGGGUAAACCUCGUGAAUAAGUAAUUGUGUACAAUAACUUGAUUGUGCUAAGUAUGAUUGUGAGUUGUAAUCUUUUUGUUUCACCGUUCAGAAGAAUUUGAUGGUUACAAUUCAUGUAACCUGCUUUGAAGAGGAUUUUGCAAUUGUGUUAUGCCUUAGAUUACUGAAUGCAUCAACAGGAAAAUGAGAACCUAACUGAAUGAACCGACGAUUCAAAGCGGGCCUAAGCACAGAUAACAAAAAGCUAACUUGGAUUCCCGCACCGUCAUCAUCAUGCCUUAGUAUCCGCGCAAGGUGUGUGAGUGGUGGGUGGUUUCUAAAGAGAAACUUGGCCACACAUCACGGCGCGCGGGGCGCCAUUUGGAUUUCCUUUGAGCUAUAUAAAACGGGAACAGCAGCAUGGAAUGGUACACUUCUCUCACUUUCGCCCAUCUUCGUCUUGCUCGUGUGCUCACUCCGCCUUUGCAAACAAAGCUGCUCGCAUCAAGCUUUUCUCCCCUCCCUCUAUUAGACAAGUUGAAGCCAGACACACCCGAUGGCGCGCAGAGGUUCAAGCCGAAGGAGAGGAGGCAGCGCAACCACCAAGGGUGCUACCAGCAAGAAGGGUGCCACUAGCAAGGGCGCCGCCAACGACACAAAAGGGAAAUGGGUCACUUCGUCGGCGACAUAACAUCGUCGACACAGGAUCAACUGACAAAGCUCGCCGACUACUGCUUCUUCCUGAAGCAAAUGGAAGUUCACUAGUGUUCACCGCUGCGGGAGCAGAUCGUGCCAGCGCCAAGCCCGGACGACCGGGUAUUCCUAGCCCCUUUCUUGGUGUGAGGCUUCUCUUUGCCUCUCCAUGAGUUUUUUCAUGGGUAGCUUUUCUUCUACGAGGCCAAUAAUAUGUCACAUCACGUGACAUUGGUCGCAAAUCAAACUGGCAAGAGGAGUCGAUACCGCGAAAGUCCCAUGUAGGAGAUGCUCCAGCAAUCCCAUGCCUUCGAUGCAAGUGAUUGCCAUUAGUAAAUCUGGGAAUGGCUAAUGGCCCCCACAAUACACCACUAGUUGCCACAACACAGCUAGGGCUGCAGUAAGCCGCCACAAACUCCGGUGAACAUGCAUGAUCUGCCAGCCAGCAUCGUCGGCACUGCAACCGUGCACCACCGCAGCCAUGCCGCAACAUAGCGAUGAUCACCGCCACCCGCCAUCACGCAAGCAACCAGUGAAAUCACAACCAACCACGGACUCGCCAACCAGGCCAAGCUCCAAUAUAAUGCCCACAAGGAGGAACAUAGACGCCGAGCACCGCCAUCAUUCGAUCUGGGCAAACCGGAACCUAGGGUUUCCGCUAAAGCAUUCUGAGAGAGGAGCCAAGGACUGCAUCUAGACACCUUCAGCAAGGGAACGACAUCCGCAGGCGCCACCGUCAUUGGCUUCGACCGAGCGAAGCCUAGCUUUCGCGGACAGACCCAUCCCUCCUUCCCCAAAUCGAACCUAGCCACCUACCAUGCCCACCACUGCCGCCAACAUGACCACUAGUGAAGGAGACCACCAAGUCCACAGACCCCUAGGCCUAUGGCGUCCAGAUAUAAAGCCAAGAUUCAUGGCUAAGGUGCCGCAUGCCUUGUUGCAAGAGAAGAGCAUGCCAUGCCCCAACAUCGGCGGGAUCCGCUGUCGAGGAAGAGUCGUCGUUCCACUAAUCCACGACAAGCUGUUGCACCGCAAAGAAGGUGGUCGCGACCACGAUGAUGCGUCACAUGGACCUCUGUACCGAGAGGCGCCAUCAUUGACGGGGGAAAGGGUCGUCCUUCCAAUGGACCUGAUGGAAAAACGUCAUGCGAGGAGCCCUGUCAGUGUCCUCCGACAAUGGUGAGAAGGUAUGGGACGUGGAGGGCUGCUGUUAGGUGGUUUCGCCCAUGACGCCUGGAAGAUCACACGAGGGUUGGGGAUUGCUGGAAGGCAAUGCAGGGGACAAUACAAUUAUAACACAUUAGUUCAAAAAAUCGGCUAUGAGUUGAUUGGCACAAAAGAAAUUAUUCUUGGCAUCGAGUCUCAUGGUGGAUGUAGUUGUUAGGCAUAUCAACAUGAGUUGUCGAUAGUACGUCAGUACGUCCCCUAGAGCUUUGUGCGGGGGGCUUUUGGGGGGAAAUGGCAGCAAAGGGGGCGCGGGAGAGUUUGCUUUCUGUCACCGACAGGCGGGCCAGGGGCGGACAAGCGUGUGCGUCCCGCCCGUCCGCGCAAUGUCCGUUUCACCCCAAAAUCGGCACAAACUUGGGCCGGGAAUGGGUCGAAAGCGGACACAAAACGGACAAAAGUCCGUUUGCUCCCGCGCGUUGGGUCGCCCGAUUUGUCCCUUUUACCCCAAACGGACGGGGCCGGAUAGGAUGGGGUCGUGCGGUGGAGUUGGCCUAAGAGCAUCUCCAACGGAUGACAUAUAAUAAUAGGGCACUAAAGAGUAGGUUUUAAGGCACCAAAAAAGAUUCUACCAUAGCAGACGAUGUAAAAUAGGUCACCGGAAAAAUUUCUGCCAUAGUAGGGCAACAUUAUUGCAUAUUUCGACAUUUUCAAACUUCUAACUGUUCAAAGUUAAACUAACAGUACUAAGAUAGAUACAAUAUUCAUCAUCACUACUACGAUAGAGGUCUCAAGUCAAUAUCGUCGGCUUUGUCGUCGUCCAACUCAAGCUUGAUCACCCGUGAGGGGCCAGCCUCAUCCUCCUCCUUGAGAACCUUCUUGCAUUGCACAUCCCUACUGGCAAAGAAUUCAUAUUCCACCUGCACAAGGUGCGGAUUUUCCACGGCGAACCUCGCCAUAGCCACCACAUCACUCUCAUGGGCGGUCUGCUGCACCAUGAUGAGGCAGCCAUCUUCUCCUCGUGAAACACAAUCCCCAAUUCAGGAGCGAUGAACUCCGCCACCUCUCGCUCAUGACUCGGGAAAGUGUGCUCCGACUUUGGCCAGCGGCCACGGCGUCAUACAUGCGCGCAGCGAGCUUUGUUGUCUUGAAGGUCCUGAGCCAGUGUUGCAUCCCAUCGCACAAGAUAUCGACAGCGUAGCCAUGGGACUACAAACCCAAACGCAGUGGAAGACCAUGCUGCUCCUCGGCUUGGCGUCGCGGCGCAACAUCUUCAGCUCGGCGAUGGCGGUGGUCGACGGCUGAGACGAAUGAGGGUGGUGGAUCUGGCGGCAGUGGCGGCCAAAUGGCGUGGUGUGGCGGAUGAUUUGGAGAACGUGGUGGUGCAGCAGCCGAUUCGACAAAAGGGGUGGUGGUUCCGGUGGCGGUGGUGGCUGUAUUCGAUAGCGUCGUCGGCAAGGCAGAGGAAGCGGCUAGGGGGGUUCACGCGGCGGUCGAGCUAAGCGCGGCUGAGGUUUUUGUUUUGCGGCAACUGCGCAAUUGUUGUAUAUUUCGAGAACAAGAGGACUGCCCCAAAAAAUUCCAGCACAAUAUAGGGAUAGGGCAUCUGCUGGAGCACCAUUUUGGGUCCAAAUGCCAUAAAACGGUUUUUUAGGCAGUUGCCCCAUUUUGCAUCAUCUGGUAGAGAUGCUCUAAGAGUUUUCAACCUUUUAUGGGCUUCUCUUGUUCUAUGUUUUACGCAUGCUUUUUACCUAUGUUUAUGUUCAUAACAUGGUUAGAUCUAUUUAACCCCCUAAACUAUACAGUAAUAAACAUUUUUUCCCGGAUCUUUUGUUCGGACAAUUAACACCCCUACAGGCUUAUACGUGAAACGGUUUGGUUGAGGCCCUAACGACGCCACAUGGGCUUGUUUUGUUGAUGUAGACAUGAUUAAAGACAAGACUCAAAUUGUACAUCUCUCCUUUUCUUUCAUGAUGUUGCCCAAUGAUUUAAUAUACAGUCACACGAGAUAAGCGACCGCCUGUACUAAAAAGAAACGGACUGCGCUAUUUCUCCCAAUUGCCCAAACCCUCGAUGCAAGGUUUUCCUUCUCCAAAUCAUGAACUUGGCCAUAGUAAACGCAAACUCAAGCUCUUCCGCUAGGGAUAUAAAUGGCCCAAAUAAUGUGUCCCUUUCUACACUAGAUAAUGCCCUAAUGCCCCAUUUAUCAAUGCAAGUGUUAUUCAUAACAUGGUGCCCACAGCAUCUUUUGAGUUUUUCUAAGGUUUCUUUUUGGAUCAUCGAACAUUUAGGGCAAAUUCUUUUAUGGGAGAAUUUAAAAUUUCUAUCUAGAAAGAAGCAUAAAUGAUCAUACGAAGGAAUCUUAGCCUCCCUGCCGCUAGCAAAAAAGUGCACACGUACACCGUCAUUUUCACCUGCAACCAGGGGUGGCGAUGGCAGUGAUGCACCCCACACCCCGCUUUCCCCCUCUCCUCCCUUCCACCCUCUCCUUGGAUGGAUGCCCCCAUCCUACGACAUCGAUCUACGUCGCGUGGCCUUGGCUCCGGCGGUUGAUGCCUCACAUGGGCUCCGGUGUGGGGUUGGGUGUGGAGCCUACUCGUCAAACCACGACCUCUCUCAUCAUAGUCCAACAUAGGUUGGACGCACUCCGACUCUCCGCUCAACCUCCCGCUCUGAGGCCCACGGCGUGUUGCAGCUAUCCAUGCCAUCCUCUCCACCUUCGGCUUAGGGUGGCCCUGAACCCCUGAAUCAAGGUUGCGAGUGCUUCAGGCUUGGCUCCUCGGCAUGUCAGGAUGGAUCUAAUACAUGCUUCGAGAGAAAACCCUGUUGACCUAUGUAUGAGCCAACCACCGUAGCGUCAACCCAUAUACCUCCAUGGAGUGGUCUUCAAGAUGUGCAGCGUGGAUUUGCUCUACCAAGGCUACCCCUUGGUGCUAUGGAGUGUCUUGGUGGUGCGUUUGGGUCUGAAUCGUGGUGUGUGCUCCUGGAAAACACUGUGCUCGAUCUCAUUUCAGGCAACCAUGGCGGUGCUUUCUAGCAUUGUAACACUCCUGGGAGGCGUGGUCUUGGAGAUACAACUCCUCGGUGUGUGCUCCAGGCCAAAGCUCAAUGAUGACAUCCUUUGUGGACGUUGUUCCCCUUCUUGAAGGCUUCAUCUUGUUGGCCCUGCCCUUGCCAUGUCAUGGGUUCUCAUACCAUGUUGGUGGCUAUAAUUGUGGUCCAGUGGUACACUUUGGUGUCACCCGUGCCACCAUCCGUACACUCCCCCUAUCCAUCAUCUGGUGCCUUCAAAGUUGACACUUCGUUGUUGUGCAAUCUCAAAUCUCUCCCAUGGUGAAUAGUUUGUUGCCUUGAGCUUCAUGUUCUCUAUGUGGUAGCGACCCCACCUUGCAAGUUGUUCCGGUUGUCGCAUGUGGGGGAGCUCCAGUCAAGGUUCAUGCCUAUCGGUGGUCUCACAGCUUGUAUUGAUCCAGUAUCAUGCCCAUGUAGCAAAACUUGUAGUCAUAUCAAUGGCACUCAUUGAUUGUGUUUGCUCCUACAUCACAUUGUGGGGAUACUUGCAAGGUCUUGGUAUUGUGAUACCCUUCGACAGCGCCCUACAUCUAUUUGUGACUCGUGGUGGUGACCUUUGCAUGCGCCAGCUGGACUAUGCCUUGUCAUGGGCACCCAUUCCACUCUUCUUUUUUUUCCUUUGUUGCUUAUGCGGUUUUCGAUCCACUUUCUGUUAUAAACUGAAUCCCAAUUAAGAAUGUACUUACUUUUCACGAGUACAAAAUAACAAGCCUCGCAUCUGAAUUGCGAAUCAUGGGUUUGCUCGUACACUUCAUUUUCUAUAAACUGCACAGUUGCGGCCUCUUUGAUUUGCAGAAUUGUAAAAAUGCAGAAAUAGCAAAAACACAGGAUUGGAAUGUCAUGCCCAUUUGAAUCCUACAGGAUUUGAGUUUGUAUGGUUGCAUCUCAGGAAAAACAAAUGAUAUUUUUCAAGAGAUUGGAUUGGACGCUGGAUAGAUUUUCUGUGGAAUGUAGUUGGAGUGGAUGCUAGAUAGAUUUUCUAUGGAAUGUAGGAAAAAUCCCAAUAGGAUUCAAUACUACGAAUGAAACCACCGGCAUAUGAAAAAUUUGAAGGAUUGUAAUCCACCGAAAAUCCUAUGAAAAUCAUUUGAAUCGAAGAGGCACUGAAGCAACAAUAUAAGGUACCUUCUGAAAUAAUUAAUACCUAGCAAACAAUAUAAGGCUAAAUGGCCCUGGCGUACCUGACUGGUCCUCCUUCCACCCUUUUGCUUCCCGUCCUCUCCAAAUGCCCCAUGGUCGGUCUUCUUGGUCUGGCCGCGGUGGACAGGCAGCACCGGCCGGAUCUGGGAGGCAGACGGGCCGCUGCGGAGAAUGGGGACGGCCACCGCUGCUUGUCGGGCAGGGACGGCGAGAUCACAGGGCGUCAGAUCCAGACCUCCUUCACGCAGCCGUGCUUCCCCGUCUGAAUCAGACAGUGAGAAGGGGAGGGCGCAGGGCAAGAGGCAGCGGCGCUGGGAGGGAGCUCUGGAGGCACGAGAUUGGGGAUCACCGAUGCAAGAGGCGGCGGCGCCGGGAGGGAGCUCCGGGGGCACGAGAUUGGGGAUCCCCGAUUCAUGGUGGAGGACUGGAGGUCAGCAAG